This 411-nucleotide ribosomal RNA is filed under the name Micromonospora tulbaghiae. Its description in RNAcentral is "bacterial SSU rRNA". It matches the Rfam family "Bacterial small subunit ribosomal RNA", at positions 160 to 586 of the family's 1533-position model. Lineage: Bacteria; Bacillati; Actinomycetota; Actinomycetes; Micromonosporales; Micromonosporaceae. The record is from RNAcentral.
GGGCUAAUACCGAAUAUGACCUUGCACCGCAUGGUGUUUGGUGGAAAGUUUUUCGGCUUGGGAUGGGCUCGCGGCCUAUCAGCUUGUUGGUGGGGUGAUGGCCUACCAAGGCGACGACGGGUAGCCGGCCUGAGAGGGCGACCGGCCACACUGGGACUGAGACACGGCCCAGACUCCUACGGGAGGCAGCAGUGGGGAAUAUUGCACAAUGGGCGGAAGCCUGAUGCAGCGACGCCGCGUGAGGGAUGACGGCCUUCGGGUUGUAAACCUCUUUCAGCAGGGACGAAGCGUAAGUGACGGUACCUGCAGAAGAAGCGCCGGCCAACUACGUGCCAGCAGCCGCGGUAAGACGUAGGGCGCGAGCGUUGUCCGGAUUUAUUGGGCGUAAAGAGCUCGUAGGCGGCUUGUCGC